CACUUAUACUUCCCCCCAAAACAAAACAAUUACAUAAAAAUUGAAGGACUCGCCUGUCCUGCCUCUCUCUCGAUUCCCAGCUCUCUUUCGAUUUUCUCUCUCCCGAACACUCUCGACAACAAAAUUGAAGGAUGAAUUGAAGGAUAAAUUAAAGAUUUGUUAGUUGAAUACACAAGUCUUUGGUUCCAAUUAGAAGGCUUUUACUAAUUUUAUUUUAAUUUUACAGGUGAUUAGGGCUUCAAUUAAUUGGGGUUUUCUUGCAGCAUUCCAGAAAUGGGAGUUUGACUCUUCUUGCUACUCAGGUUCUUGCUACUCAGGCAAUGUUUAGGGCAAUUGGAAUUGGGUAUGCUCAUUCGCUUCCAUCUGCUGCUGCCCUCAAUUGGGUAUUAAAAGAUGGUCUCGGACGCCUUAGUAGAUGUAUCUACACUGCUUGUUUAGCGUCAGUUUUUGAUACUAAUCUUAAGGACAAAUCACAUUUAUGAUCUGCCAAUGUUGAAGCACGCAGAGAGGCAAGGCCAUGGAUGAGCUGGUCGAGAUCAGGGAGUGUAAUGGUACAAGUAGACUUGUGGUUAUUCCUGUAUUUUACAAUGUUGAUAAAUACAACUUGGAGAAUCAACUGGAGACUUGUGCUAGAGCGUUUGAUCAAUUGCAACUAACAGGAUCAGCGUUGUGUCAGAGACUGGCAAUUGAGGAGAUUGUUGGUAUGCUGGGAUUGGAUCUGAAUAAGUUUGCGCCUAGGUUAGCUGCUUGAGAUCUCCGCAUCCAAACACCCCAGAAAGACAUCAAUGCUCCCAGAAGCAAGAAGGGUCCGCAUCGUGGAUCACACAAGAGAUCAUGGAGUCCAGAAGUAAGACUAAUGACUCGACGCAUUAUUCCCUUGCCCGAGGAAAGAAUCUUCUUAGUGCUAGUUGACCAUAUAGGGUCCACGUCCUCAGGAACAAGCUCAGGAGAAGAAAAGUUUGUGAAUAAGUUUGUGAGAUUCUGAGAGAAGAAAAGACACGGGCUGACGAAUUUUGCUACUCUUCCUUUUGUUUAUGAAUGUUUAAUAUAAGCGGCAAGUUUACAGUAUUGUAAGUGUAGUUGCUAUGGUUUCAUUUUCAGUUGCGUGCCUAAAAUAUGGUAUUGCAGAGUAUAUUAGUCUCUGUUGGAAGUAUGUAAUUUAUGACUAAGUUUAUUUGUCAGAAGGUUUGUAUUAUUAUUUUAGACUUUUAGUACGAAAAUAAAUUUAUUUAUUUUUUUC
Molecule: long non-coding RNA, 1240 nt
Organism: Daucus carota subsp. sativus
Lineage: Eukaryota; Viridiplantae; Streptophyta; Magnoliopsida; Apiales; Apiaceae
Exons: 5
Source: RefSeq, a predicted model, not a curated record